AUUAGCGGCGGACGGGUGAGUAACACGUGGGUAACCUGCCUCAAUGAGGGGAAUAGCCUUCCGAAAGGAAGAUUAAUACCGCAUAAUAUGUUUAGAUCGCAUGAUCUUAACAUCAAAGGAAUUUCUUCGGAGAUUCCACUUUGAGAUGGACCCGCGGCGCAUUAGCUAGUUGGUGAGGUAACGGCCCACCAAGGCAACGAUGCGUAGCCGACCUGAGAGGGUGAUCGGCCACAUUGGAACUGAGACACGGUCCAGACUCCUACGGGAGGCAGCAGUGGGGAAUAUUGCGCAAUGGGGGAAACCCUGACGCAGCAACGCCGCGUGAAUGAUGAAGGCCUUCGGGUUGUAAAGUUCUGUCUUCUGGGACGAUAAUGACGGUACCAGAGGAGGAAGCCACGGCUAACUACGUGCCAGCAGCCGCGGUAAUACGUAGGUGGCAAGCGUUGUCCGGAUUUACUGGGCGUAAAGGAUGCGUAGGCGG
RNAcentral lists this ribosomal RNA (481 nucleotides) under uncultured Clostridium sp. Its description in RNAcentral is "bacterial SSU rRNA". It matches the Rfam family "Bacterial small subunit ribosomal RNA", at positions 91 to 578 of the family's 1533-position model. The record is from RNAcentral. Lineage: Bacteria; Bacillati; Bacillota; Clostridia; Eubacteriales; Clostridiaceae.